GGAUGUGAGGGGGAUCUGGCUGCGACAUCUCACACCCCAUUGGUUGCCAGAGUUGAUUCAAGCUGGCUAGGUGGGUGUCCCCUUCCUCCCUCAACGCUGCAUGUGCGUCCUUCCCAAAGCUUUGCGCUCCAUCAAAGAGGACCACCACCCCCAAUAGAACAGGAUCGCUCCUAGGUCAAGGGCAUAGGAGUAGCUGCGCCCCUCUGCUAGAACCUCUAAAAACUAAAAUGUGUGUGGGGGAGGAAGUUGCCCCUUGAAGUAACCCAUUCCUCUUCACUAUUGACCUCAACUGAG
RNAcentral lists this small nuclear RNA (294 nucleotides) under Chinchilla lanigera (long-tailed chinchilla). RNAcentral's name for it is "7SK RNA (ENSCLAG00000021863.1)". It matches the Rfam family "7SK RNA". From Rfam's summary of the family: 7SK was discovered as an abundant small nuclear RNA in the mid-70s but a possible function has only recently been suggested. Two independent studies have found that 7SK RNA binds the CDK9/cyclin T complex (known as elongation factor P-TEFb). The record is from Rfam by way of RNAcentral. Lineage: Eukaryota; Metazoa; Chordata; Mammalia; Rodentia; Chinchillidae.